Molecule: ribosomal RNA, 454 nt
Filed under: uncultured Parabacteroides sp.
Lineage: Bacteria; Pseudomonadati; Bacteroidota; Bacteroidia; Bacteroidales; Tannerellaceae
Description: partial 16S ribosomal RNA
Rfam family: Bacterial small subunit ribosomal RNA
Source: RNAcentral
ACGGAAGGCAGCAGUGAGGAAUAUUGGUCAAUGGAGGCAACUCUGAACCAGCCAUCUCGCGUGAAGGAAUACGGCCCUACGGGUCUUAAACUUCUUUUAUAGGGGGAUAAAGUGAGGCAUGCAUGCCUUUUUGUAGGUACCCUAUGAAUAAGCAUCGGCUAACUCCGUGCCAGCAGCCGCGGUAAUACGGAGGAUGCGAGCGUUAUCCGGAUUUAUUGGGUUUAAAGGGUGCGCAGGCGGCACGUUAAGUCAGCGGUGAAAUGUCGGGGCUCAACCCGGGCACUGCCGUUGAAACUGGCGAGCUCGAGUACGGAUGAAGUCGGCGGAAUGUGAUGUGUAGCGGUGAAAUGCUUAGAUAUCACACAGAACACCGAUUGCGAAGGCAGGAUACCAUACCAUAUCUGACGCUCAGGCACGAAAGCGUGGGGAUCGAACAGGAUUAGAUACCCUGGUA